Molecule: long non-coding RNA, 8562 nt
Filed under: Vigna radiata
Lineage: Eukaryota; Viridiplantae; Streptophyta; Magnoliopsida; Fabales; Fabaceae
Description: long non-coding RNA (VRAD_LNC007583)
Source: RNAcentral
ACCAUUGAAUCAGAGGAAUUCUUAAAACCAAAGCCUUUCUUGAAGAAGUCUAUUCCUAAACUACCAUUUGAUCCCAAAUUCAAGAAACCAUUUCUACCACCAUUGUCUUUUAAGAAGCCAAUUCCAGCUCCUUAAAAUCAUAACACUCUACCUCUUCAAAAUAUAAGGAUAAUGGUUUUAUAUAUGUGGCACCAUCUUUAGUUCAACCUCAAUCAUAAUUUGGAUAAUCCUUUGGUACCCCUCUUGUGUACUCCAUUCCAAUUAUAUAUGUACUUUAUGUUUUUCAUUAAUGAAUUUCUCAAUAUUAUAUUAAUUAAAAUAACAAAUGUUACUGAGUUUGCAUUUUUAUUUAAUUAGUAUUUCCAUUUGACAUAUUGAAGAAGUGGGCUAUUUAAUUGUAAUUUUGGGUAAAAGUGAUAUAACUAUUUUUACACAACACUUCAAUUCUACAAAUUGAAUUAAUAAUCUUAAUUUGAGCACUUAUAAUAUUACAACCAAAUAACACUAAAUUAGGUCAUAGGGUGUUUGUAGAUGAAAAUGGUUAAAUAAUUUUUAAUGAACUUUAAAACCAUUGGACUCAAUUUGAACCAUUAGAGGAAGUGAAUGUUUGAUGGAUGACUACUAAAAUAUUUUCUUUAAGAGAUUGCAUGAUAAAUGUUAGUCACAACUUAAAUUUAGAUAGAUGUACUAUCUAAGAGCGUUUUCCAUAAUUUUUUUUUUCAAAUUUCUUAUUUUACUAAUAGUUACAUAUAAAAAGACAUGUAAUCUGAGAAAAAGGAAAGAAGAAUUUACACUGUUUUUAUACUAACUUGUCUAGACUACAUUUAGUUUUCAAUUGAUUGAUUAAGUUUCAUUAGGAAGACUACAACUACAUGAUACAAAUGUGUACUAUUUGGAUCUCAGUCAUUUAUUUUAAAGCUGAGUAUUAUUUAGUCAUUAGUCACUUUUGGCUAAGAUUGGAUAUCGUUUAUAACACAAUCACUCUUGAUUAAAACUAAGUACUGUUUGGAACGUAGACAUUCCUAACCAAAGAUAUAUAUUAUUUGAAAUGUAAUCACUUCACCAUAAGAAAAAAUAUUGUUUGAAACAAAAACCUUCUUAACUAAAAUUAAGUAUUAUUUUAAACAAAAAUUAGGUAUUAUUUGAAACAUAAUCACUUCUACCUAAGACUAAACAUUACUUUAAACAUAAUCAAGUAUUAUAUAAAACAUAACCAUUCUUAGCUAACGUGUAUAAGACUUACAAAGGAUGUGGUUUAAAAGAUCACAAGUUCACUCACUGGAAAAAAAGAUAACAUCGUAUUAUGUAUGCAAAGUUUAAACACUCUUCAACAUUGCUAAUGAACACGAACAAUAUUCUUUCUCAAAACCACUUCCAUUGUUGUCAGCCUUCCUUAUUCAAAGAGAUAUUUUAUUUAGAAGAUACGACAACCUCUAGUUGUUCAAGGAUGGAGUACUUGGAUUAGAGAUAGGAACUUGUGGUCUUUGUUGAUGUAAACAUAACUUCAUAACUGAUUUGUGUCUCUCAGUUACUGUGUGCUCAUGCACACCAUAUAUACUUCAUUUUUCGUUUCAUUCAAUAACACAGUUCUAGUAUUCUUCUUUUGUAAUACAUCUUUCUUCUUUGCAUAAUCAUAAUAUUAGCUGCGCUAACAAUGGUAUUAGUAGUUCUGGUUUGAAACUUGGUGGGUCAGCUCAAGACAAUCAAGAAGAUGGCCGGCAUAUUACACAACAACCUUCCCGUGUUUGACGGAAAAAGGGUUUGACUAUUGGUGCGUCAAAAUGGAAGUCAUUCUUGGCUAUCAAGAGGUUGACGAGAUUGUCAAAAGGGGCUUCAAGGAACUAGUGAAGGGUGACGUCGAAAAAACAAAGCGAUAUAAAGAAAAUAAGCGAUUAGACUGCAAGGCCCAUAUGCUCCUACAUAAGUGUGUGUCGGUUGCUAUCUUUCAGAAGAUCUUGAAAGUGGCCACGACAAAAGAAGAAUGGGACAUCUUGUAGGGGAUAUGGUAAUUCUGGCAAGGUGAAGAAGGUUCGUUUGCAAUCCUUGCAACGACAAUACGAACUUCUGUGCAUGGGCGAGCAAGAAAUCGUUGUAGACUACAUUGGAAGGAUUCAAGUCAUUGUAAAUGCGAUGAGAUCAUGCGACAAAGUUGUGAAAGACAAGAAAAUAGUCGAGAAAAUUCUCAGAACCUUGACACCCCAGUUUGACUAUAUCAUCGUUGUGAUAGAAGAGUGCAAAAAUCUUGAAGUGAUGAAGGUGGAGGAAUUACAGAAUUCGCUAGAGGCACAUGAACAAAGAUUAAUCGAAAGAAGAAAUGCAGAGAAAGAAGUGCAUCAGGUAUGAACCAAGCCCUACAGGCCAGAAGUAGUUAGAAAACCAAAGGACGUGGAAGUGGAAGAGGUAGAGGUCGUGCUCGAGGAGGUUGAACAGGAGGGAGAAACUCAAGUGUUUCUAACCAAAAAGAUGAAGAUGAAAGUAGUGAAAACAAGAACGACAGCAAGAGCAGCGGAAAACACUCAAGAGGGAGUGGAAGAAGUAAGGUUGACAAAAGAAACAUACAAUGUUACACAUGCAGUAAGUUCAGACAUUAUUCAUCCGAAUGCUGGCAUAACAAAGCGGUGAAGAAAAGCAAAGGAAAUGAGGAGGCUAAUCUUGCGCAAGAUGCAGAUGAUUUUGAUUUUGAUCACGUGUUAUUAAUGAGUACAAUCGAAGAUAACGAAGAUGGGUGCAAGAAUGGUGAUUCUGCAUGCGACAACAUGUGUAACGAGUGCAAGAACGAUGACUCUGCAUGCGACAAGUGUUGCAAGGUUGAACACGUGUCGUUAGCUGACGAAACAAAUCAUGCAGAAGAUGAAUCCUGCUGGUACUUAGAAACAGGUUGCUCCAACCAUAUGACUGAGAAGAAAGAUUUAUUGUUAGAUUUGGACCCGAGUAUCAAAAGCAGCGUGCAAUUCGUUGAUGAUAGUGUGAUCAUGGCUGAAGGAGCUGAAAGAAUCAUGACCAAACAAAAAGAUGGACAAUCGGCCUACAUGAAUAAUGUCUUGUAUGUUCCAAACAUGAUUGCUGAGUUUGGGGCAACUUCUCGAAAAAGGCUAUACAAUGACGAUGCGCUAGAAACACAUAGACGUAUUCGAUGAAAAGCAACAACUUGUUCUUAGAGCCCCACUUUCCAGAAAUAGAACAUUUAAGGUAAAUCUUAAUGUCAUUGUCGUUCAAUGCUUGACUGCUAUUGAUUCCAGGGAAGAAGUUUGAUUAUGGUACUACCGGUUCAGGCACUUGAACUUUAGAAGUCUAAAGCUGUUGAAGAGCAAAGACCUUGUAAAAGGAGCUCCUGAGAUACAAAUCCCUGACAAAGUGUGUGAAGGAUGUGCUGUUGGGAAGCAGACCAGAACAAAGUUUAAACAAACCAUGUACAAGAGAGCAAAGCAACCACUUGCUGUUGUCUACUCAGAUGUAUGCGACCCAUUUGAUGUGGAGAGAAUAGGAGGUAAUAAAUACUUCUUUCUUUUCAUAGAUGAGUGGACUAGGAAGAUGUGGGUUUACUUGAUCAAAGAAAAUAAGAACAUAUACUUAUGCUUUGUAAAAUUUUGUGCUAUUGUGGGGAGGGAAUCUGGUUUGCAGGUGAGGAUUUUCAGCACAGACAGUGGAGGAGAAUUCAACUCACUUGAAAUCAAUGAGUUUUUUCACCAACAAAGGUAUCGUGCAUGAAGUGGUAGCACCGUACACACCCCAACACAAUGGUCUUGCAGAGAGAAGGAAUCAGAUGCUGCUUGACAUGACCAGAUGCAUGCUUAAAGCAAAGAAGCUACCACACUGUUUGUGAGGAGAAGCCAUUGAUAAAACAACUCAUUUACUGAAUAGGAGUCCAACCAAAUCAUUGCCUAACUGCACUCUAGAGGAAGCUUGGUCAGGAGUUAAACCUACAGUUAAGAAUCUGCGUGUUUUUGGGUCUACAUGUUACAAAUAUACAUCGGAUGAAAGAAAGAAGAAGUUAGAUGAUAUAAGUGAGAUGCUUAUCCUCGUUGAGUAUCACUCAGCUGGUGCUUAUAGAAUGUAUGAUCCGAGGAAAAAUCAGAUAAUUAUGAGUAAAGAUUUUAUAGUGGAUGAAGAAAACAGUUUUGAUUGGAAGACGACAGAAGCCGAACCAGACUUUGUUCAAGGUAUUUUAGAAGACAAUCGUGCUGAAAAAAAACAAGUAGUUGGAGGCAAUGAAGGAAACAACAGAAGGUCACAAAGAGCUAGAUUUCCCUCAACGAGGUUGUCAAGGCAUGAAGUGUUUCCAGACCGUGAUGUUUUAGAUUCUGGAGACUUUGCUCAUCUUGCAUUUCUGGUAGAUGCAUAGCCUAUUACUUGGAGGCAAAACAUUGACAUGAAGGAGUGGAAGGAAGCAAUGAUUGAAGAGUUAAGGUCCAUUGAAAGGAAAAGAACAUGGGACAUGGUUGAACUACCUCAGCAUAAGCGAGCAAUUGAGGUAAAAUGGGUCUUCAAGACCAAGUAUAAAGCAGGUGGUGAGAUAGCUAAGCUAAAGGCCAGACUAGUAGUGAAGGGGUUUCUGCAGCAGCAAGGAGUUGAUUAUACAAAUGUUUAUGCACCAAUUGCAAGGUUUGAGACAGUGAGACUCGUGAUAGCGGUUGCUAGCCGGAAUAACUAGAGAAUUCAGCAGUUAGAUGUGAAGAGUAUGACGCGAAUACAAAGGUAAUAUCGUACUAUUAGUACUUGUAGAUAUCCAUUACUAAAAAAAAUUAAAAUUAUAUUUAUAUUAUAUUAGGUUAAAUUUCAUUAAAAUUAAAAUUAAAUUUUAAUUUAUGUUAUAUUAUAUAUUUUUUGUAAUUUAAUUUAGAUUUUAUUUUUAGUUUUAUAAAAUAUAAUUUUUUUUUUAAAUAUCUACGGGUAUCAAGGAUACUUGCAUGUUUUAAAACAUGUGGAUAUUUUUUAAAUAGGUAUCGGACAAGUAGGAAAUAAGUAACAGGUGAAUUUUCUUGUUGCGGGAUCGGGUAAUUGAUAGACACUAUCUUCAUACUUAGGGAUGACAACGGGUCGGGUCGGGCAUAGAUAGUGCCUACCCGCAACCCGACCGUUGGAUAAAAUUGUAUCCGCUACCUGUCCCAUUACCCUCUAGAUACCAGCUUUAAAAAAAUCUGUGGAUUUUUUUAACUCGUGGAUACCCGUUGGAUACCCGUUUUCAACACGCGAAUAUUUAAAAAAAAAUUAUUUUAUAAGUUUUUAAUGAGGUUCGCUUACGUGCACAAGGUUUUCGGGGCCAACAAUGUGGCCAAGCUUCUCAAUGAACUCAGCGUCUCGCAGCGAGACGACACCGUAAAGUCGCUCGCUUAUGAGGCUGAGCCGCGUCGACCCCGACUAUGGCUGCGUGGGCCUCAUCUUCGUCCUACAACGCAGGCUCAAGCAGAUCCAGGUGGAACUCAACAGUGCAAAGAAGGAACUCGCAACAUACGUCGGUCCCCAAGCUUUUCAGGGCUUACCCGCCCCCAUUUUCCAGCGACACCCAAACAACCCUUUUUCCGGUUCCCUGUAUGGGAGCAUGGCGAGGGUGAUGACAGCCGCUCACGGUGGGCAACUGAUGAUUCAUGAUGACCAUUCCCCGCAAUAGCAUCAGAUCUUGGAGGCCCAGCAGUUCGCUGCGGCUGUGGUGGCGAGGAAGCUGCAGGAGAUGUUCAGGGGUUACGAGCAUCAACAGCGGCAAGAGGCACGUUCUGCGUAGGGGUUGCAAAGAGGCACGUGGGAUGUAGAAUGAGGUAAAGAAGGAGAACUAAAAUCAUAAAACCUAAUUUAAAUUGAGGAUAAAAAAGUAAUUUAACUUUUUAGCGGGUAACAGGUACCCGCAGGUAUUAAUAAUGUAAUACCCGAACUCGACUCGAUAAUGAGUGCGUAUUAAAAAAUCUGCUACUCGCUACCCGUGGGUACUUAUUACCCGCGGGUACUUACUAUUCACAACGGGUUUAAUCCGCAGAUACCCGCGGGAACGAAUUUUUUUGCCAUCCCUAUCCACUUGACCCAAACUCAUUGUCAUCCUUAUACUCUACCUUUGAUCAAUCAAGGACUAAAUCCAUCUUAAAUAAAGAGUACCAACUUCUAAACACGAGGUCUAAGUUGUUCGAUCCAAUCUAAGUUCAUUAAUAUUUUCAGUUACUAUUAUUUUUAGGGUUAAAUAUGUUUUUGGUCCCUUAACUUUUAGUGAAAAUUGGAAUUAGGCACUCUUUGAAACUUUGGACUAAUUUAGUCCCUUAUCUUUAAAACUGCUUGAAUUUAGUCUCUUUAACCAAAUUUUGUUAAGUUUAUUUGAGGUUUCAAAUGCAUUUCUCAAUUAACAUUGAAGAAAAAAUGUGUUAAACAGUGUAAAAAACUCAAAUGCUAUCAUGAAAUACGUUUGAAAUGUCAAAUAAACUUGGCAAAAUUUGGUUAAAAGGACUAAGUCCACAUAUUUUUAAAGUUGAGGAACUAAAUUGGGUCAAAGUUUCGAGGAGAGACUAAUUCCAAUUUUUACUAAAAAUUAAGGAAAAAAAAAUAUGUAACCCUUAUUUUUAUUAUGUUAGUUAUAUUGUUAUUAUUAACAGAACUUAUGUGUCUAAUAAAUUUUAUAUAUAUAUAUAUAUAUAUAUAUAUAUAUAUAUAUAUAUAUAUAUAUAUAUAUAAUUUAUAACAGAAGCAAGUACACACUGUUCAUUAUUGAACACUCUUCCCAUUUAUGAUCCACACUCUUUUAGUGACUAAAAUAUCAGAGUUUCUUUGUAGGUACAUAUCUUUUUUUUUUUGCUCAGUUCAAACUAACUAUUUAACGGCGACAACCUAGUUUGGAAAGAUUGUUGACUCUCCUCAAAGAUUCGGUAGACCUCGGUAAGAACAACAGCGAAAAUAAACUUCAAGAUAACUCAGUCGUUAAAGUUACUGGUUUUAUAUAGUUAAGAUUGUUGAAGUGUAUGAUAUUGGUGAUGUAAUGAACAAUGGUUGAGUACCUCAUAUCAAUAUUAAUGUAAAAUCUACAAAAUAAAGGAAGUAAGAAGCUCCCACAAUAGUAUUACUCUAAGUGUAUACAAUAAUAAAAUAUAUAAAAUCUGCUUUGUCAUGUUGCAUUUGAACCUUCUGAAGUUAUGCAGUUUUGAACACACAAAACCCAGCAGACUCAUUUAUUGAAGACAGCAUUCCUCAUUAACACAGCUACAAUAACGGUGUUAUUAAACUCUUCUCACCUCUCCAAACAUAGGUCAAAGUUGCAACCACCCACAUUAUAAUCCGAAACCAAAUCUAAAAUUUCGGAGUGCAUUUCAUAGCAUGUAAUGACCAAUGACCAACUAAUCCCAAGCUAAGUAUUAUAAAUAGUAUGUUUAUGCAACAACUAUGACUCAAGCCUUCACACAUUUCCCCUUUUAGUUUCCAUCAGUUGUUUUAGCAAUGAGAAAGGGUUCUAUUCUCCACUCUGCACUUUUGUGCUUCUGGGUUCCCUUGUUGCUCCUUGUCACCUUCACUUAUGCUACUUCUGCUUUCGCCACAACUCAAAUUUCAGGUUUACACAUUACUCCCUUUUAGGCUUUUAUACCAGGUUUUCUUUUCUGUAACGUGUCAAUAAAGUUUCAAACACAUUGAAAAUACCAAUUACAAAUCAUUCUCAUUUUUGUAUAUGAUGUUUGUUUGUCAUUCAUCCUUAAAAAAAUGUGUUUCUUUUUUAUAACCACAUUUUCUAUACUGUGUUCGUUUUUGUUAUUUAAUAUAACUGCAUUUUUUAUGCAGGAAAUGAAGUGAACGAGAAUGGGAUAGUUGUGAAUGAAGAUUUAGAAAAAGUAAAUGCAGAAGGACAUGAUGAUGAAGAAUCAAAAUUCAAAGGAUUGUUUCCUAAACCAAUUCCAUUUGCUAAACCUAUUCCAAAGNNNNNNNNNNNNNNNNNNNNNNNNNNNNNNNNNNNNNNNNNNNNNNNNNNNNNNNNNNNNNNNNNNNNNNNNNNNNNNNNNNNNNNNNNNNNNNNNNNNNNNNNNNNNNNNNNNNNNNNNNNNNNNNNNNNNNNNNNNNNNNNNNNNNNNNNNNNNNNNNNNNNNNNNNNNNNNNNNNNNNNNNNNNNNNNNNNNNNNNNNNNNNNNNNNNNNNNNNNNNNNNNNNNNNNNNNNNNNNNNNNNNNNNNNNNNNNNNNNNNNNNNNNNNNNNNNNNNNNNNNNNNNNNNNNNNNNNUACCAUUGAAUCAGAGGAAUUCUUAAAACCAAAGCCUUUCUUGAAGAAGUCUAUUCCUAAACUACCAUUUGAUCCCAAAUUCAAGAAACCAUUUCCGCCAAUUCCAACUCCAUAGAAUGAUGAUAACACCCAUUGCACCUAAUAAGCAAUAAAGCUAUUAUAUCUUCCAUUACUGAGUGUGUUGAUUUAUAUUCCAAUCACAACCAUUAGUUUCUUAAUCCUAUUGUAUCCCUCUCCUUAAUAAAAUUUACAUCACUAUUACCCUUUGUAAAAUUAGUAUCUUAAAGUAAGAAAUGAUAUUACUGAUUUCUCAUUUUAGUUUAUUGUUUUUGUUCUUUAGAAUUUGUUUCCUAAUGUUUUGAACGUUCUCCAUUUAUCAUCUCUUGG